CAUUAGAUAUCUUAAAUGUAAGAAUUGAUUUUUUAAAUCAAAAAUAAUAAAUUAACAAUUAUUUUUAAUGA
Molecule: transfer RNA, 71 nt
Filed under: Fopius arisanus
Lineage: Eukaryota; Metazoa; Arthropoda; Insecta; Hymenoptera; Braconidae
Description: tRNA-Lys
Source: RNAcentral